RNAcentral lists this ribosomal RNA (491 nucleotides) under uncultured bacterium. Its description in RNAcentral is "partial 16S ribosomal RNA". It matches the Rfam family "Bacterial small subunit ribosomal RNA", at positions 28 to 507 of the family's 1533-position model. The record is from RNAcentral.
GAUGAACGCUGGCUACAGGCUUAACACAUGCAAGUCGAGGGGAAACGACGGGGAAGCUUGCUUCCCCGGGCGUCGACCGGCGCACGGGUGAGUAACGCGUAUCCAACCUGCCUCUGACUGAGGGAUAACCCGUCGAAAGUCGGCCUAAUACCUCAUGGCAUCGUCUGCGGGCAUCCAACGACGAUUAAAGAUUUCAUCGGUCAGGGAUGGGGAUGCGUCUGAUUAGCUUGUUGGCGGGGUAACGGCCCACCAAGGCGACGAUCAGUAGGGGUUCUGAGAGGAAGGUCCCCCACAUUGGAACUGAGACACGGUCCAAACUCCUACGGGAGGCAGCAGUGAGGAAUAUUGGUCAAUGGGCGGGAGCCUGAACCAGCCAAGUAGCGUGCAGGAUGACGGCCCUAUGGGUUGUAAACUGCUUUUAUGCGGGGAUAAAGUGAGGGACGUGUCCCUCAUUGCAGGUACCGCAUGAAUAAGGACCGGCUAAUUCCGUG